Molecule: non-coding RNA, 144 nt
Filed under: Massilia sp.
Lineage: Bacteria; Pseudomonadati; Pseudomonadota; Betaproteobacteria; Burkholderiales; Oxalobacteraceae
Description: FMN sequence
Rfam family: FMN riboswitch aptamer (RFN element)
About the family: The RFN element is a highly conserved domain that is found frequently in the 5'-untranslated regions of prokaryotic mRNAs that encode for flavin mononucleotide (FMN) biosynthesis and transport proteins.
Source: RNAcentral
CUACGUCUUCGGGGCGGGGUGAAAUUCCCCACCGGCGGUAUGGCCAUCACGAUGGCCGAGCCCGCGAGCGCCUGCGGUUGCAGGGUCAGCAGACCUGGUGAGAGGCCAGGGCCGACGGUAUAGUCCGGAUGAAAGAAGAUGUGC